Molecule: transfer RNA, 72 nt
Filed under: Camelus bactrianus (Bactrian camel)
Lineage: Eukaryota; Metazoa; Chordata; Mammalia; Artiodactyla; Camelidae
Also listed under: 2 other names
Rfam family: tRNA
About the family: Transfer RNA (tRNA) molecules are approximately 80 nucleotides in length. Their secondary structure includes four short double-helical elements and three loops (D, anti-codon, and T loops).
Source: Rfam by way of RNAcentral
GAGGGUAUAGCUCAGUGGUAGAAUGUGUGCUUAGCAUGCACGAGGUCCUGGGCUCAAUCCCCAGUGCCUCCA